RNAcentral lists this ribosomal RNA (301 nucleotides) under uncultured bacterium. RNAcentral describes it as "partial 16S ribosomal RNA". It matches the Rfam family "Bacterial small subunit ribosomal RNA", at positions 509 to 807 of the family's 1533-position model. The record is from RNAcentral.
CAGUCGCCACGGUAAUACGGAGGGUGCAAGCGUUAUCCGGAUUCACUGGGUUUAAAGGGUGCGUAGGCGGGCAGUUAAGUCAGUGGUGAAAUCUUCGAGCUUGACUCGGAAACUGCCGUUGAUACUAUCUGUCUUGAAUAACGUUGAGGUGAGCGGAAUAUGUCAUGUAGCGGUGAAAUGCUUAGAUAUGACAUAGAACACCGAUUGCGAAGGCAGCUCACUAAACGCUCAUUGACGCUGAGGCACGAAAGCGUGGGGAUCAAACAGGAUUAGAGACCCCCGUAGUCCCUGUCUCUUAUAC